Molecule: ribosomal RNA, 253 nt
Filed under: uncultured bacterium
Lineage: Bacteria
Description: partial 16S ribosomal RNA
Rfam family: Bacterial small subunit ribosomal RNA
Source: RNAcentral
UACGUAGGGGGCAAGCGUUGUCCGGAAUCAUUGGGCGUAAAGAGCGUGUAGGCGGCUCGGUAAGUCCGCUGUGAAAGUCCAGGGCUCAACCCUGGAAUGCCGGUGGAAACUGUCGAGCUAGAGUCCGGAAGAGGCGAGUGGAAUUCCUGGUGUAGCGGUGAAAUGCGCAGAUAUCAGGAAGAACACCCGUGGCGAAGGCGGCUCUCUGGGACGGUACUGACGCUGAGACGCGAAAGCGUGGGGAGCAAACAGG